RNAcentral lists this ribosomal RNA (513 nucleotides) under Lygodactylus roellae. RNAcentral describes it as "partial large subunit ribosomal RNA". It matches the Rfam family "Bacterial large subunit ribosomal RNA", at positions 1851 to 2597 of the family's 2925-position model. The record is from RNAcentral. Lineage: Eukaryota; Metazoa; Chordata; Lepidosauria; Squamata; Gekkonidae.
GGUCCCGCCUGCCCAGUGAAACUUUCAACGGCCGCGGUACCCUAACCGUGCAAAGGUAGCGCAAUCACCUGUCCCUUAACUGAGGACUAGUAUGAACGGCUAAAUGAGGGCGCGACUGUCUCCUGCGACCAAUCAAUGAAAUUGAUCUUUCAGUACAAAAGCUGAAAUAUACCCAUAAGACGAAAAGACCCUAUGGAACUUUAAACCCCUGUACUACAAAUCUUAACAUUAAACCACCCCUCACUAGUACACACUUUCAGUUGGGGCAACUACGGAGCAAAACAAAAACUCCAUGACCCAGCGUCUAAUACACGCAUACCCAAGGCCCACACGCCACAUCAAACAGCUGACCCAGUCUAACUGAGCAUCGAACCAAGCUACCCUAGGGAUAACAGCGCCAUCUUCCCCCGAGAGUCCAUAUCAACGGGGAGGUUUACGACCUCGAUGUUGGAUCAGGACCCCCCGGCGGUGCAGCCGCUGCCAACGGUUCGUUUGUUCAACGACUAACGUCCU